GGACUGUAGCUCAGUGGUAGAGCACUUGCCUUGCAUGUGUGAGGCACUGGGUUCAAUCCUCAGUACCA
RNAcentral lists this transfer RNA (68 nucleotides) under Marmota monax (woodchuck). RNAcentral's name for it is "tRNA.Ala". The stretch from base 5 to 65 matches the Rfam family "tRNA", at positions 6 to 65 of the family's 71-position model. From Rfam's summary of the family: Transfer RNA (tRNA) molecules are approximately 80 nucleotides in length. Their secondary structure includes four short double-helical elements and three loops (D, anti-codon, and T loops). The record is from RNAcentral. Lineage: Eukaryota; Metazoa; Chordata; Mammalia; Rodentia; Sciuridae.